AACGAACGCUGGCGGCAGGCCUAACACAUGCAAGUCGAGCGCUCCGCAAGGGGAGCGGCGGACGGGUGAGUAACGCGUGGGAAUAUGCCCUUUGCUACGGAAUAGUCUCGGGAAACUGGGGGUAAUACCGUAUACGCCCUUUGGGGGAAAGAUUUAUCGGCGAAGGAUUAGCCCGCGUUGGAUUAGGUAGUUGGUGGGGUAAUGGCCUACCAAGCCGACGAUCCAUAGCUGGUUUGAGAGGAUGAUCAGCCACACUGGGACUGAGACACGGCCCAGACUCCUACGGGAGGCAGCAGUGGGGAAUCUUAGACAAUGGGGGCAACCCUGAUCUAGCCAUGCCGCGUGAGUGAUGAAGGCCUUAGGGUUGUAAAGCUCUUUCAGCUGGGAAGAUAAUGACGGUACCAGCAGAAGAAGCCCCGGCUAACUCCGUG
Molecule: ribosomal RNA, 431 nt
Filed under: uncultured bacterium
Lineage: Bacteria
Description: partial 16S ribosomal RNA
Rfam family: Bacterial small subunit ribosomal RNA
Source: RNAcentral